Candida maltosa Xu316 is the source of this 72-nucleotide transfer RNA. It matches the Rfam family "tRNA". Rfam says of the family: Transfer RNA (tRNA) molecules are approximately 80 nucleotides in length. Their secondary structure includes four short double-helical elements and three loops (D, anti-codon, and T loops). The record is from Rfam. Lineage: Eukaryota; Fungi; Ascomycota; Pichiomycetes; Serinales; Debaryomycetaceae.
GCUCUGCUAGCUUAAAGGUAAAGCGUUCCUCUCCUAAAGGAAAGACUCCGGGUUCGAGUCCCGGGUAGAGUU